This 676-nucleotide ribosomal RNA is filed under the name Salmonella enterica subsp. enterica serovar Enteritidis. Its description in RNAcentral is "partial 23S ribosomal RNA". It matches the Rfam family "Bacterial large subunit ribosomal RNA", at positions 681 to 1269 of the family's 2925-position model. Lineage: Bacteria; Pseudomonadati; Pseudomonadota; Gammaproteobacteria; Enterobacterales; Enterobacteriaceae. The record is from RNAcentral.
GUCUUAAUUGGGCGUUAAGUUGCAGGGUAUAGACCCGAAACCCGGUGAUCUAGCCAUGGGCAGGUUGAAGGUUGGGUAACACUAACUGGAGGACCGAACCGACUAAUGUUGAAAAAUUAGCGGAUGACCUGUGGCUGGGGGUGAAAGGCCAAUCAAACCGGGAGAUAGCUGGUUCUCCCCGAAAGCUAUUUAGGUAGCGCCUCGUGAAUUCAUCUCCGGGGGUAGAGCACUGUUUCGGCUAGGGGGCCAUCCCGGCUUACCAACCCGAUGCAAACUGCGAAUACCGGAGAAUGUUAUCACGGGAGACACACGGCGGGUGCUAACGUCCGUCGUGAAGAGGGAAACAACCCAGACCGCCAGCUAAGGUCCCAAAGUCAUGGUUAAGUGGGAAACGAUGUGGGAAGGCCCAGACAGCCAGGAUGUUGGCUUAGAAGCAGCCAUCAUUUAAAGAAAGCGUAAUAGCUCACUGGUCGAGUCGGCCUGCGCGGAAGAUGUAACGGGGCUAAACCAUGCACCGAAGCUGCGGCAGCGAACGUAUCACCCAAGACAACUUUACGGAGUUGACGAUUGACGGAGCGAAGCGACGUCAAAGCGUUCAUUAAAGUCGAGUUGGCUUAGGGAUACGUUCGUUGGGUAGGGGAGCGUUCUGUAAGCCUGUGAAGGUGUGUCGUGAGGC